AUUUCCCUAUUGGUAAUUGUGACCAUAGCAACAGAACCUGGUGUUAUCUGCCUAGUGGAACCCAGGAGGCAGCCAUUUGACACCAACCCCCUGGUGACUGUUCUUUGAUAUUUACCUUUUCCAGAUUAAUGGAGCUGGAGCCCUUACCCUUGAAUGGAAGUCCCUUCUGAAAGCAGCCCAAAUGACCCUCCAUCAGGAGAGCCAGAGGAGCACAUCGUUUCAGCAGAGUCCACUUUGGCAGUGUGGAGAGUGAGAGACAUGAAACGGAAGAUCUGGAGGAAAGAGUACAGACACUGGUGGAAAAUCCGGCGAGAUAAACUUCAUAUUCCAAGCUGGUUUUAUUUCUGCAGUCUUUUUUCAAGGGCCAGGAAAGAACCCAAUUUCACAGCUGAGCUAGAGCAAACCGAGGAAUCUGGCAAAGGUGAGAAAGAAAUGGAAGAGUUUGGACAGAGAAAGGGGAACAUUAAGGAAGAAAAGGAAGAGAGCAGGAAGGUAAAAGUAGAGAGAGAUAGAAGGGGAGGUGUGUGUGUGUGUGUGUGUGUGUGUGUGUGUGUGUGUGUGUGGUAAGACAGUGGUGAUAUAUGGAAACUGCUAGCAGAAAUUUUUCUCUGCAAAAAAUAGGGGUGAGAAGAAAGAAUUGAGGGCAAGGGGUCUCUGAAGAUAAAGUCUAUUGACUUCACAAUUUUGUUUAAAUCUGCUCUUGACUAAAGAGCUUAUUACUGGGAGAAAGGCUGAGGUUUGGACUGGAUAGGGAGGAGAGAAAUAUUGUAGAAGGAGGAGUGAACAAAUAUAGUACAAAGCAAAGAAGGGGACAUGGAGUUUUAAUGUAUUUUUUUAUGGGAAGGAAGGGAAAAUUUGGAACAAAGUUUUAAAGUAUUUUUAAGCUGAACCAUUUUUAUAAAAUGAUAGACUGAGAACUAUUAUGACUCAGUAAGGUAGGAUGGUAUUUACUGUUAGGAGAAAUAAUGUAGGUUUUCAAGGUAGCUCUUUUAUUUAUUGUUG
This 1002-nucleotide long non-coding RNA is filed under the name Sarcophilus harrisii (Tasmanian devil). Its description in RNAcentral is "lncRNA (ENSSHAG00000030178.1)". Lineage: Eukaryota; Metazoa; Chordata; Mammalia; Dasyuromorphia; Dasyuridae. The record is from RNAcentral.